Molecule: ribosomal RNA, 540 nt
Filed under: uncultured bacterium
Lineage: Bacteria
Description: bacterial SSU rRNA
Rfam family: Bacterial small subunit ribosomal RNA
Source: RNAcentral
UUAGGAAUUUUCCGCAAUGGGCGAAAGCCUGACGGAGCAACGCCGCGUGGACGAUGAAGACCCUUGGGUUGUAAAGUCCUGUCGGAGGGGAAGAAGAUCUGACGGUACCCUCCAAGAAAGCCCCGGCUAACUACGUGCCAGCAGCCGCGGUAAUACGUAGGGGGCAAGCGUUAUCCGGAAUUACUGGGCGUAAAGCGCGUUAAGGCGGCUGGCAAAGUUGGGGGUGAAAUUUCAGAGCUCAACUCUGAAACUGCCUCCAAUACUGGUCGGCUAGAGUGCGAGAGAGGAAGGUGGAAUUCCCGGUGUAGUAGUGAAAUGCGUAGAUAUCGGGAGGAACACCAGUGGCGAAGGCGGCCUUCUGGCUCGCAACUGACGCUGUAGCGCGAAAGCGUGGGGAGCGAACGGGAUUAGAUACCCCGGUAGUCCACGCCCUAAACGAUGUGAACUAGGUGUUGGGCGUAUUGACGCGCUCAGUGCCGCAGCUAACGCAUUAAGUUCACCGCCUGGGGAGUACGGCCGCAAGGUUAAAACUCAAAGGAA